AAAUCCUUUUUCAAGUGAAUCAA
Molecule: small nuclear RNA, 23 nt
Filed under: Arabidopsis thaliana (thale cress)
Lineage: Eukaryota; Viridiplantae; Streptophyta; Magnoliopsida; Brassicales; Brassicaceae
Description: snRNA_10461
Source: RNAcentral